GACGAACGCUGGCGGCGUGCUUAACACAUGCAAGUCGAUCGGAAAGGCCCUGCUUUUGUGGGGUGCUCGAGUGGCGAACGGGUGAGUAACACGUGAGUAACCUGCCCUUGACUUUGGGAUAACUUCAGGAAACUGGGGCUAAUACCGGAUAGGAGCUCCUGCUGCAUGGUGGGGGUUGGAAAGUUUCGGCGGUUGGGGAUGGACUCGCGGCUUAUCAGCUUGUUGGUGGGGUAGUGGCUUACCAAGGCUUUGACGGGUAGCCGGCCUGAGAGGGUGACCGGCCACAUUGGGACUGAGAUACGGCCCAGACUCCUACGGGAGGCAGCAGUGGGGAAUAUUGCACAAUGGGCGGAAGCCUGAUGCAGCAACGCCGCGUGCGGGAUGACGGCCUUCGGGUUGUAAACCGCUUUCGCCUGUGACGAAGCGUGAGUGACGGUAAUGGGUAAAGAAGCACCGGCUAACUAUGUG
Molecule: ribosomal RNA, 468 nt
Filed under: uncultured bacterium
Lineage: Bacteria
Description: partial 16S ribosomal RNA
Rfam family: Bacterial small subunit ribosomal RNA
Source: RNAcentral